UAAGAUAGAGGUGCGAUGCCGAUAAGUACUCCUUCGAAAAGCCCUGGGCGGCAGGGGGAUGGAAAGGCGGCGUUGCCGAAGCGGUUUUCUCUGCCCAAGGGGGUCUGCCGCUGGGACAUUGCAAAAAAUGUAAUGUACUGUCACUUAUGUGGAGCGCUAUCGG
This 163-nucleotide non-coding RNA is filed under the name uncultured Anaerotignum sp. RNAcentral describes it as "Lysine riboswitch". It matches the Rfam family "Lysine riboswitch aptamer". Rfam says of the family: Riboswitches are metabolite binding domains within certain messenger RNAs that serve as precision sensors for their corresponding targets. Allosteric rearrangement of mRNA structure is mediated by ligand binding, and this results in modulation of gene expression. The record is from RNAcentral. Lineage: Bacteria; Bacillati; Bacillota; Clostridia; Lachnospirales; Anaerotignaceae.